RNAcentral lists this ribosomal RNA (253 nucleotides) under uncultured bacterium. Its description in RNAcentral is "partial 16S ribosomal RNA". It matches the Rfam family "Bacterial small subunit ribosomal RNA", at positions 524 to 776 of the family's 1533-position model. The record is from RNAcentral.
GACGUAGGAUGCGAGCGUUGUUCGGAUUUAUUGGGCGUAAAGCGUGCGUAGGCGGCUAUUUAAGUCUGGUGUUAAAGCUAGGGGCUCAACCCCUGUGAUGCACUGGAAACUGGGUAGCUUGAGUGUGGUAGGGGAAGGUGGAAUUCCCAGUGUAGCGGUGAAAUGCGUAGAUAUUGGGAAGAACACCGGUGGCGAAGGCGACCUUCUGGGCCACUACUGACGCUGAGGCACGAAAGCGUGGGGAGCAAACAGG